Molecule: ribosomal RNA, 253 nt
Filed under: uncultured bacterium
Lineage: Bacteria
Description: partial 16S ribosomal RNA
Rfam family: Bacterial small subunit ribosomal RNA
Source: RNAcentral
UACGAAGGGUGCUAGCGUUAUUCGAAAUUACUGGGCGUAAAGCGCGCGUAGGUGGUUCAGUAAGUUGGAAGUGAAAUCCCCGGGCUCAACCUGGGAACUGCUUUCAAAACUGCUGAGCUAGAGUACGGUAGAGGGUGGUGGAAUUUCCUGUGUAGCGGUGAAAUGCGUAGAUAUAGGAAGGAACACCAGUGGCGAAGGCGACCACCUGGACUGAUACUGACACUGAGGUGCGAAAGCGUGGGGAGCAAACAGG